GGGAAAACACCAUCUCAACACUAACUCUUCAAUUGAUAGAAACGACUAAUAAACAAAAACAUCUUUCUAUCAAAUACAAGUAACAGAAUCUUUUCCUGUGAACUUAUGGAGUGAAAAAGGAAAAUUGCAUUUAUAGUAGCAUAUUCAGCAGAGGUAGAGUCACUGAAAUUGCGAGAAAUAAUUAUUUUGAAGGGCUUGCUUAUUCAGUCGAAUUUUUUGAGGAAUCAUUUUAUUACAAAGUACAGAGCAUUUUGAACAACUAUCCUUCCAUGUCUCUAAAUACGUUUAAUAAGAAAUGACCUGGGUGGCAGCAGCUUACAAGUGGUACAAGCAGAAAGAAAAUAACAUUUACAGCAUCAAACUGCGAAAUUUUGAAAAAAAGUAUGUCAAUUAUAUGCUAAUCAAGAAGAAAUCAGCACUAAAGAAAGAAAAUUUCACAAGGUUUACCAUGAUUCCUAAUCACACAGCUUGUGAUCAGUAAAGAUCAGUUGAUAUUCAGGGCAAGAAUUGGUGGAUUGCGUGCUGUCUGAAUGAAUGUACCACCAUAAAAGAAAUUGUGAACACUUUUGUUCAAGCAUCUUUGUCAUCGCACUUGAUUAGCAGUAAAUAUGAAAUUCUCUCAAACCCUGCCUGAUCCCCCACCCCCCUCAUUUUUUUUUCCUCGCCCCCACAGAAACAACCAAGAAUAAUUGUCACCCUUAAUGUGCUUCUGCUCAUAUACGAAAAAUGGACAAAGAAAAUUACAGGUGGGAUUUUCCAUCAUCCCUAUGUCUGUAUAUCUAAGGCUUGCCUCUACCCUAACUAUUUUUUUGACUGUUUAUUAUUAAUUUUCUCCUUUUGAUUUGUUGAUGUUGACUCAUCAUAUGCAAAAGGUAACACAACUACAGGGGCAGCAGGCACUGUGUUCCAGCGAUCCUUCAGAAAGGUUAUGAACCUCUUAACCAUUUCCUUCCGGAACUCAAGCUCCCGAGUGAAGAGAUCAAAAAGAAGAAAGGCAGCAACAUACUUGAAAGGGACAAUGAGAAGAACAGUUGCGGACGCUAAAAACACCAGUGCAACCUCAGUUGUUAUCUAACAAAAGGUUCAAAUUUUAAAAUCAGAUUGUCACCACAGUAUAUCAAAGACUGGAAAGUAAACUAAUCAAAUUUCAAAAGGCAGCAACAAAAAAAAGUUCUCCAAAUAGCCCUACAACAACAACCUAAGCCUUAAUCCCAAACCAAAUUAAAACAAUAUUAGAACCUUAAUAGAAUACCCGUUCCUGAUCUCAAGGAGUCAGAAAAUACUCGUAGAAUAUAUGUUAAUCCCAUGAUAUAUCAACAAGCCUUCUAUUCUAUCUAUUUUCAUUCGCCCCUGAGCUCUUAAGCUGAAAAAUGAUAUUGCAGGUAUCAAUGAAUAUCCAAAGUUGUUUUGUGGAAAGGGGGCAUUAUAUUGCACAAAGCACAUUUAUCCUUCUCAGUAUUCAACUAAAGAACACAAAUUAUAAGUUCUUAAGUCAUGAAAGCAAAAUACUAAAUGGUUCUGAUACAGAAUCAAAUAGAGAACAACAAGCAAUAGAAUUUGCAUAUUUAUAUUUCAAUAAUUUUUCUCAACAUGACAAGAUACCUGAGGAUGACCUGAAAGAAUAAUUGUACGAAUUUUUAGAAGUGUGACAUUCAGAUUCUGGAGAUAAUUUUCCACAUCACACAUGGCAUCUUUUACUGCUAUAAUCUUUUGAAUGGUAUUUGAAGGUGGUUGAUCACGAAUGGUAACUUUCCCAAAUGAUCUGCCCAAGCGACCUUGCUCCUUAAGCCCCUUCAGUGUUAGCAUCCCAGCUGCCAAAACCAUUAACAUCAUCGGAAAUACAUAUGGCAGCAAAUUUCUGAAAAUAACUGAAUAUGCAAAUGCAAGAAAAGAGAUGGUCAGAUGUGGCUCCUCCCAGCGUCUCAGUUUUCCAAAAAUAUUGGCAGCCAUAGUCAGGGGAAGUAUCAGUUCCUUGAAGAGAUCGAUGUUACUUGGUAUCCCUUGAAGCAUUGCAGCAUCAAUUGUCGCUUGAGUUUUUUCAACCACCUGGCAUUUUUCUUUGCAUGUUAUUGCUGCCCUCUCUACAAGAGUCAUAUCAGCCACAACAAGAUCUUUACUUAAUACAACACCUUGCUUUGUUGAAGAGUUCUUCCAGAAAUUAAUGGAAGCAGUGGAAAUCCAAGAUGGAGACCUCAUCCACUUCUGUAAGUAAACACUUCCAUCUAUGUCAAAUACAUGAUUACUGAUUUCCAAUAACUCAUCAGAAGGCUUUGCUCCUUGUGCUGCUUGAUACUCUGCCAUGGUAGCUUUUUUAACUAAAGGUCCACCCCAGUAAUUUACAGCUAGAGUUUGGUAAACAAUGUCUCCAUAGGGUGCCUUCUGCAAAAAUGAGAACUGAACAAGUUUGAUGGGAUCAUCCAGCAACUUCCGCAUAAAUUGAAGGGCCUGAAGUCUAGCAAUGCUAUUAAUAGCACUGGUGAUAGCCCUUUCCUUCCCUUUUUGGGCACCAUACACUUGAAAUAUUGACUGAUCACUGUCUUUGGGUCCAAACUCACAGAUGAACUUGUGCAAGGAAAUAACUUCAUUCAUAAAUGCAUGCCAAACAUCUCUUCUUGAGUCACCUCCCAAGUCAACAAAUUCUAGCACCCAUGUCUCCGAGUUGGGACCAGAUGAAAUAGAGACUGCAGAAUCAAAAAGCACAUAACCCAAAGGUCCAACCUUUGUCUUCUCCACCUGUAUUCCUUUUCUAGUAAGAUCAAACCUUAUAGGAUCUUUCUGCCCAGCCAAACCAACAGCCUCAAAAUAAAGUGCUUUAUCAGUUAAAAUAACUUUUCCUGGCCACGCCAUGUUAUUCUCCCAUUUUAGAACAGGACGUUUCCUGCUGGAACCAAUGCACAAAAUUCUCUCCUCUGAAAGCUUAGGACAUUCACGAAUCUGGUAUGAUUUCCGUCCUUCAUGAACUUUGAGAAGUUCAUCAAUAUAAGUUAACCACAAGCCCAAAGAGAUGCCUUGUUCAUCCCCAGCAAGGGCCCUGAAAAGAUUAUGUGCUGUAGAGUGAUCAGCCACACCUGAAAUAGCAGGAGCAAUGCGUACGAAUGCCUCUUCUCCUACAAGUUUACCCUGAAGAGAAGCCUUUUCAGAACCAUCUUGUUUGUGGUAAGGAUUCUCCCAUGCAAGCAUUGUUAUGAAAAUUAGUUGCUGGAAUGCUGGUUCCUUGAGGCAGGGAUGGAUAGCAGAGCUAUCCCUUGACAAGAAUCUAAAGCAGCAAUACUCCACCAAAUUACGGGCAUCAUUAUACAUAGAUUCAGAAACAAGUGCUUUAAAUAUCUUCUGCAUUUUAUAGCCAGUCAAUCCAUUCAUCCUGCUAAAUUGCUCUAUGGAUACUAUAGCAGCUAAUGAGAGAGUUCCAUUCGGUGUGCUACUAUCAAUUGUCUGUUCUGUAAUAAAUAUUUCCUCCAGCUCUGCUACAUUGAGCACCUUUCCAGGAUCAGGCUUUCCAAUGUGACCAGAUUUUACCAGCGGCAAAGUCACCUCAAUCAAAAGAUUUUGGGUCUUAGAUAGCCAUGAAUUGACUCUUUUUUGGACUGCCUUAGCAUCUAUGUCUUUAAUCUUCCAUCUGUCCCCAAGAGACUGACCCACGAGCUUAAACCUCAACCUGCGCUCGGGGGAAUUGAAUUGACAGCAACCAAACUUGCUGAAGUCACUUUUAAACAAAAUCAAAGAACUGGGUGCAACUGGUACUGAUGCUUUCAAAUGGGUAACUGGGAAUUUUGAAUGCAUCCUUUUUGGGAUAUUCAGGAUUCAAGAUUCAAGCUUUUGAGUUCAUAACUCCAAGAAAGCUUAAUGCUUCAAAGAAAAUAAAAUAAAAAAGAAAGAACGAUUAGGAUUAUUAGAGUAGCGACAAGCGAGGCAAGAGAAAG
Molecule: unclassified non-coding RNA, 3920 nt
Filed under: Hevea brasiliensis (rubber tree)
Lineage: Eukaryota; Viridiplantae; Streptophyta; Magnoliopsida; Malpighiales; Euphorbiaceae
Source: RNAcentral